AUGCAUGUAUUAAGCAACUGGUAACCAUCAAUGGACAGGUUUGACUAUCCAUGAGGUAGGAGGGAUCGUUAACCCCACUUUGCAGAUGAAGAAACAGAAGCAGGGAGUACUCCCUCACAACUGGAAUAUAAACAUCUCCGAAGGCAGGGGCUUCAAGUGUCUUUUCCUGCACGCUGUUUACUUUAUCUAGAGCAGUGCCUGAUACAGUUGGAGCCGAACACUGAUAGACUGAUGGGUGAGUAAGGGGGAGGAUGGAAGAGAGCGAGACACGCCCUCCAUAAUCCGAAUGUG
This is a long non-coding RNA of Odocoileus virginianus texanus, 291 nucleotides long. RefSeq lists it as uncharacterized. The record is from RefSeq and is a predicted model, not a curated record. Lineage: Eukaryota; Metazoa; Chordata; Mammalia; Artiodactyla; Cervidae.